UUCACAGCCAUAUUAACCAGCAACCCAAGAGCGCUCCCUCACUGAAGCUAAGCAGGGCUGAGGCUGGUCAGUGUCUGGAUGGGAGACCACACGGGAACACUAGGCUGCUGUUGGAA
Molecule: ribosomal RNA, 116 nt
Filed under: Danio rerio (zebrafish)
Lineage: Eukaryota; Metazoa; Chordata; Actinopteri; Cypriniformes; Danionidae
Source: RNAcentral